GCAGGUGAGAUGGAAUUGGUUUACAUCCGGUACUUAGGAUACUGGGGCAUUAAAGCCGUGUGGGUUCAAGUCCCAUCACCUGUA
This 84-nucleotide transfer RNA is filed under the name Morchella semilibera. RNAcentral's name for it is "tRNA-Leu". It matches the Rfam family "tRNA". From Rfam's summary of the family: Transfer RNA (tRNA) molecules are approximately 80 nucleotides in length. Lineage: Eukaryota; Fungi; Ascomycota; Pezizomycetes; Pezizales; Morchellaceae. The record is from RNAcentral. RNAcentral also lists the same sequence under 3 other names.